Molecule: ribosomal RNA, 623 nt
Filed under: Macropharyngodon cyanoguttatus
Lineage: Eukaryota; Metazoa; Chordata; Actinopteri; Labriformes; Labridae
Description: partial small subunit ribosomal RNA
Rfam family: Bacterial small subunit ribosomal RNA
Source: RNAcentral
AGUUGAUUGCUUUCGGCGUAAAGAGUGGUUAAGGGAAAAUUAAAACUAAAGCUAAACGACCUCAUAGCUGUUAUACGCACAUGAACGUAUGAAGCCCAACUACGAAAGUGACUUUAAAAUUCUGACUCCACGAAAGCUAUGACACAAACUGGGAUUAGAUACCCCACUAUGCCUAGCCCUAAACAUUGAUACUAACCUACUUAUUUUUAUCCGCCAGGGUACUACGAGCAUCAGCUUAAAACCCAAAGGACUUGGCGGUGCUUUAGAUCCACCUAGAGGAGCCUGUUCUAGAACCGAUAAUCCCCGUUAAACCUCACCUUUUCUUGCCAUGUCCGCCUAUAUACCGCCGUCGUCAGCUUACUCUGUGAGGAACUUGUCGUAAGCACAACCGGCAAAGCCCAAAACGUCAGGUCGAGGUGUAGCGAAUGGAAAGGGAAGAAAUGGGCUACAUUCAAUAGUUAUAAUGAAUACGAAUGAUGUCUUGAAACAGACAUCUGAAGGAGGAUUUAGCAGUAAGCAGAGAAUAGAGCGCCCUGCUGAAAUUGGCCCUGAAGCGCGUACACACCGCCCGUCACUCUCCCCGAGCUAAUAGAGACAAAUUACUAAUAAACAAAACCUGCAAA